AUUGAACGCUGGCGGCAGGCCUAACACAUGCAAGUCGAACGGUAACACGAAGAGGCUUUCUUCUUUCCUGUCGCGUGUCGCAGGCGUGUGAGAUGUCUAUCAGACUCCCUUUUGUCGGGGGAUAACUCGUGGAAACGGUUGCGAAUACCGCGUAUCGUCCCUAGAGCAGAGAGCAGGAGCUUUGCGCAUCUUGCCCGCUUAUAUGCGCAGAUGUGGGAUUAGCUAGUGGGUGGGGUAAAGGCACACCAAGGCGACGAUCCCUAGCUGGUCUGAGAGGAUGACCAGCCACACUGGAACUGAGACACGGUCCAGACUCCUACGGGAGGCAGCAGUGGGGAAUAUUGGACAAUGGGCGCAAGCCUGAUGCAGCCAUACCGCGUGGAUGAAGAAGGCCUUCGGGUUGUAAAGUCCUUUUGUCGGGAAGGAAGAGCGUAAAGUUAAUACCUCUCCUCAUUGACGUUACCCGAAGAAGAAGCACCGGCUAACUCCGUG
Molecule: ribosomal RNA, 492 nt
Filed under: uncultured bacterium
Lineage: Bacteria
Description: partial 16S ribosomal RNA
Rfam family: Bacterial small subunit ribosomal RNA
Source: RNAcentral